GAUGAACGCUGGCGGCGUGCCUAAUACAUGCAAGUCGAGCGAACAGACGAGGAGCUUGCUCCUCUGACGUAGCGGCGGACGGGUGAGUAACACGUGGAUAACCUACCUAUAAGACUGGGAUAACUUCGGGAAACCGGAGCUAAUACCGGAUAAUAUAUUGAACCGCAUGGUUCAAUAGUGAAAGACGGUUUUGCUGUCACUUAUAGAUGGAUCCGCGCCGCAUUAGCUAGUUGGUAAGGUAACGGCUUACCAAGGCAACGAUGCGUAGCCGACCUGAGAGGGUGAUCGGCCACACUGGAACUGAGACACGGUCCAGACUCCUACGGGAGGCAGCAGUAGGGAAUCUUCCGCAAAGGGCGAAAGCUUGACGGAGCAACGCCGCGUGAGUGAUGAAGGUCUUCGGAUCGUAAAACUCUGUUAUUAGGGAAGAACAAAUGUGUAAGUAACUAUGCACGUCUUGACGGUACCUAAUCAGAAAGCCACGGCUAACUACGUG
Molecule: ribosomal RNA, 496 nt
Filed under: uncultured bacterium
Lineage: Bacteria
Description: partial 16S ribosomal RNA
Rfam family: Bacterial small subunit ribosomal RNA
Source: RNAcentral